RNAcentral lists this ribosomal RNA (393 nucleotides) under uncultured bacterium. RNAcentral's name for it is "partial 16S ribosomal RNA". It matches the Rfam family "Bacterial small subunit ribosomal RNA", at positions 523 to 918 of the family's 1533-position model. The record is from RNAcentral.
AUACGGAGGAUCCGAGCGUUAUCCGGAUUUAUUGGGUUUAAAGGGAGCGUAGGUGGAUUGUUAAGUCAGUUGUGAAAGUUUGCGGCUCAACCGUAAAAUUGCAGUUGAAACUGGCAGUCUUGAGUACAGUAGAGGUGGGCGGAAUUCGUGGUGUAGCGGUGAAAUGCUUAGAUAUCACGAAGAACGCCGAUUGCGAAGGCAGCUCACUAGACUGUUACUGACACUGAUGCUCGAAAGUGUGGGUAUCAAACAGGAUUAGAUACCCUGGUAGUCCACACAGUAAACGAUGAAUACUCGCUGUUUGCGAUAUACAGUAAGCGGCCAAGCGAAAGCAUUAAGUAUUCCACCUGGGGAGUACGCCGGCAACGGUGAAACUCAAAGGAAUUGACGGGG